AUGUGGGGAAAGGAAUGGUUGAUGGGCUUACGCUGGGGGCUGCACCAGGGGCUGCUGUCUGGACAGCUUUCCACCACCAGCGACGCGCCUGGAGUGCCCGCCGGGGGCCGGCUACCCAUCGAAGCUUUGGCCCUCUUUGCCACCCACUGGGUCAAUGUCUCCACGUCCCUGCCAAGACAACGACAAGUCAAGUUAAGAGACACGGUUAGAAAGGACAAGAGUGAAGGGGGGCAGGAUGCUUACUCGUCCUCUGUCUCCUCGUCUGUUGCCUUCCUUUUCCACCUCGGGCUAAGGGAUGAGAAGUCGAAGGCGACCCCCGCGUCGAUGUUUGCAGGGGGAAGAGAAGGCGAUGGAGUCCGGUAG
Molecule: ribosomal RNA, 363 nt
Filed under: Triticum aestivum (bread wheat)
Lineage: Eukaryota; Viridiplantae; Streptophyta; Magnoliopsida; Poales; Poaceae
Description: partial small subunit ribosomal RNA
Source: RNAcentral